RNA transcript from Etheostoma spectabile (orangethroat darter), 3294 nucleotides. It is a transcript of the gene named TAR DNA binding protein b, with no coding region annotated. The record is from RefSeq and is a predicted model, not a curated record. The transcript has 6 exons. NCBI's taxonomy places the organism in Eukaryota, Metazoa, Chordata, Actinopteri, Perciformes, Percidae.
CGCUUAGAUAAAAAACCAUUUUGCUAGGCCGUACAUGGUGGUUUCACAUUGCGCCUCGUGGAAAAAAAACUAUUGCUUUCUGUGCGUUUGAGACGAGACGAGCCUUUUUGUGCGGGUGGAUAACUUUUCAGGCUACGGAAGUCAUUUGUUGGAUUACGUUAGGUAACGUUACGCAUUUUUCAUUAGCGCGGCACAUCGGUCGUCGUCCAUUGUUGACGACGCAGAUCCCCGUCUCGAACAAAGGAACAGGAGGCCGAUGUUCGCUUGUUGGCGCGGUCGGAACGCGGUAUUUAUUAAAUAAUUGAAAAUUAAAACCACCCCAACGCCUGUUUUGUGGUAUACUAUUUUAACUUGAGACGUCUUUUUCUCAACUCUCACGUUAGUCUUACUAUUUGCUAUUGUGGUCCACUAGCGAGCUAACUGCUAGCUUUAGCAUUGUUUUGAUAUAGCAAGAAGUUUUAUUUUGGGGGCAAAAUGGCUGAAGUAUACAUUCGAGUAGCAGAGGAGGAAAAUGAAGAACCCAUGGAGAUACCUUCCGAGGACGACGGCACUGUGCUGCUUUCAACCGUGGCAGCUCAGUUUCCAGGGGCGUGUGGCCUACGCUUUAGGAGCCUUGUUUCUCAGUGUAUGCGAGGAGUGCGUCUUGUGGAAGGGAUCCUACACGCGCCAGAAAACGGAUGGGGAAAUGUCGUGUAUGUGGUGAACUAUCCAAAAGACAACAAGAGGAAGAUGGAGGAAAUUGACGCCUCCUCUGCAGUGAAAAUGAAGAGAGGGGACAUGAAGACAUCUGACCUGAUCGUAUUGGGUCUUCCUUGGAAAACAUCUGAGCAGGACCUGAAAGACUACUUUAGCACAUUUGGAGAAGUCAUCAUGGUUCAGGUGAAACGAGAUGCUAAGACUGGAAACUCCAAAGGAUUUGGCUUUGUGAGGUUCACAGAGUAUGAGGCUCAAGAAAAAGUUGUCUCCCAGCGUCAUAUGAUUGACGGGAGAUGGUGUGACUGCAAGCUUCCUAACUCAAAGUUCCCUUUUUGUUUACAGCAAGGUCCAGAUGAGCCGAUGAGGAGCCGGAAAGUGUUUGUUGGUCGUUGCACAGAAGACAUGACCACUGAAGACCUACGGCAGUUCUUUAUGCAGUAUGGAGAAGUUACAGAUGUCUUCAUCCCCAAGCCAUUCCGUGCUUUUGCCUUUGUUACAUUUGCAGAUGAUCAGGUUGCCCAGUCUCUCUGUGGAGAAGACCUAAUAAUCAAAGGUGUCAGUGUUCACAUCUCAAAUGCUGAACCCAAACAUGGCAGUAGGCAGUUUGAUCGUACAACACGAUUUGGGAAUGGUUUUGGAGCUCAGGCGUUUGGUAGCAGCCGUAGUGGGUUAGGGAGCAGCACUAACAGUAGUCUGGCUAAUUUUGGUUCCUUUAGUCUGAACCCUGCUAUGAUGGCUGCUGCUCAGGCUGCUCUGCAGAGUAGUUGGGGGAUGAUGGGUAUGCUGGCUAGCCAGCAGCAGACAUCCACCUCAGGCAGUGCUUCCAGUGGAACAAGCUCUAGUAGGGACCAGAGUCAGUCUUUUGGUACAGGCAACAGCAACUACGGCACCAGCUCAGCCAGCCUCGGCUGGGGAACAGGGUCAAACUCUACAACCAGCGGUAGUGGGUUUAGCACAGGUUUUGGGUCCAGUAUGGAGUCAAAGUCAUCUGGGUGGGGUAUGUAAGUUAAGUGUUUGUAUGGUAAGUAUCGUGACAAAGAUGAGUCUUUUCCAAAUUUAUUUCUGGUGUUGAUGCGUAUCUGAACACUUUCGUGGGAGAUGUUUUGUACAUUUGGAAAAAAUGCUUAAAGAUUUAAUUUAGAAAGUGAAGUAAAUUGUUUACCAGGAUGUCUGACUAAAGUGCUAUUUUUGAUGUCUCAUUUGUUAGUGUCCAUUUCAACUGGAUUCUCUAAUGCAUGUAUUGUGAAAUGUGAUAACCAUUUUGAAAGUGCAUGAAUGUCUUGGUUCACCAUUAUCCGGCUUUGUCAUCGACUUAAACGGCAAUCUUGCAUUGGAAAGAAUCUGGUUGAAACCUAAAUGUUUUAAGUGAAACUUUAUUUGCAGUAAAGUUCUGUGGAACAGCCUUCAUUGAAAUCUCUUCUGCAGUUCACCUCUCUUCAAUUUUCCUGUGAGGAAGCUCCUCUUUGGCAGCAUUCUUGGGGUGAUAUCGGUAUCAUUGUCCCUCUUCCCACCUGUAAAUGCAAUGCCAUCAAAGAACGGCUUCACUCCGCAUGUUCUAAGAGACGGGACCUUGGGCUCUGCUGGUCGAGGUCUCCGUUUGAACCCUGACUGAGGUCUGUUCUGAAGGACGAAGACGGAAGUUCCAACACUUUGAGUGUGUGGCAUUCUCAGACAUGACAUGGGGUAGUACCUGUCUUUUUGCUGCUUUUGAUGGCUUGUCAGUGAAUUAUCCUUUAUUCUCCACAGCUACUUUUAAAGGGGGGUAUUUUAACCUUCAAUCUGGCAUCACCUCUACAAACUGUAUUUUGUCCCUUUUCUAUCUUAAGAAAUAAGAAUACUAAUGGCAUGUUGAGUUUAGAAGGAUUUUUAGAAGGCCUGUUUCACUAAGUGGCCACUUCAUUAGGUACACCACCGGGAAGUGUAAAAUUUGACUCUAAGGUCAUAGGUGUUGUACUGGACUAAAUUUGAGCUGUUUCAUAUAUACAUGAGGGGGCACAAUAUUAGAAUCACCACUAACAAAGCAACAGUCCAAGUUUAUGGAAGUAUUAAUUAGGCUGGUGUAUUGCAUAGUACUGGAUUAUGCAGGUGUACCUAAAAGUGGUCACUCAGUGUACAUUGUUUGCCUGGCAGUCGUAACAGUACCUUCAUGGUUUCUAAAAUUGAAAACUGCAUAUUUAGAUAACUUAGUUUGGAGAAACAGCAGGUAGUCAUCAUUUUGACAGUCUUCUCUUGACUCAGUUCAUACAUAAUCUUUUUAUGUCAAACAGUGCUAAAUGCUCACUUGACAUUGCAUCAGCAGGUCCCAGGACAGAUAACUGUCUGCUGUGGAAUACUAAUUUCCCAUAAAAUGACUGGCACAUUUCAUUACAAAUAACUGUUCAUGUAUUGGUCAGCCUUCAUAUUUAUUUUAAUGUUGGGCACAAGUGAGACACUACAGGCCUGCCUUUGUCUUGUCCUUAUUCUCUGCUCUCUCCUCAGUGUCUCUGCUCUUCCUCUUCCCAGCAUUCUUCUUUUUCAAAUCCCUCUGCUCCUGGUUCAGUUCUUCACUUUUAUUUUGUAUGUAGAUGGACUGAAAUAAAUAAAGGCAAAUUAAACAUU